RNAcentral lists this long non-coding RNA (2121 nucleotides) under Homo sapiens (human). Lineage: Eukaryota; Metazoa; Chordata; Mammalia; Primates; Hominidae. The record is from RNAcentral.
CUUCUCUCUAGUUGGGGUGCCUGUGAAACCGGCAGGCUCUCUCCAAAUGCCUGGAUUCUGCUGGGGGAGUAAGAAGUCAGGAGUAGUUUGUCUGAUGGUAUUGGGAUCUGCUUUGCAAUUGCCAAGCGCUAAGGCACAAGCUGGCAGAUGUGCUGCGGCUCUGCUACGGGCGGCUCUGUCGCCUUCAGUCGCAGGCUGGUUCUUUGGGGGAAAGUUGUAUCCAAUAUUGGUGACUCCCGGGAAUAGUCUGUUUGUGUGCUACUUAAUGGUCUCUAGGCUUCCUUGUCUUGUAGAACCUUGUUAGAAAGGAGCCUUGGUGAUUAAGAGGCUAUGGAGUACACAGCCUUGCUUAGCAGAUGAGCCCUUAUCCAUUUCCCGUUUCCUUAAAAACGGCUAAUUGAUGGAUGCUGCAGAAAACAUGCACUCUGCUAAUAAGAUGCUGAUGACAAAAUAGGUAUCAGGAAAGGCAUUUACUGCUUAUGAGCACCAUCAGCUUUCUUUCGAGUGAGAUUGUGGCUUUGUAGUAAAGUUUUUUUUUAAGUAAUAUGCUAAUAGUUUUAUUCUAAAUCGGCCAGCGCUGAAUAUCUUCAGGAAAAUGGGUUCCAUGAGAAGUGACAUCCUCCUCGAAUCAAAAGAUUCUCAGGAUGAUGGAGUGAGUGAUGGAAUAGGUUGCCAACUGUAGUUACUCCACUCAGCACAGAAUGGCUGCGGGGAAAUAUAAUCAGACAUGCCCAAAGAAGUCUGCUUAGGGUGAAACAAAUACCUUUGAGGUUUAAAUCAGAAAGGAAGGAGAGACUGUUUCUACAGGUGUCAUACAAAAAUCAAUACUGAGCCAAGGAUUAUUGGAUCCCAUAGAACCACGGAGACUUGGUAGUGAAAUUCUUCCAAAGCAUUCCAUCCGUGCAGGCAGAUGGUGUUCCUAGGUUUGGAAAUAUAAAUCCCAUGGGAAGUCAGCUGAAGACCAUUUUAUGCAUCACUCAUCCUGUUAGAGCCCUGUGCUGUUCUGUCUCUCUAUAAGACUGGCUGAAACCACCACGGUUGUUUACAAUUUAUGCUCUAACUUUGGAUCACCUAGUUAAUACUCUAACUCCGAUUAUUACCAAAGACAAUGUUCUAUAAAAGAUAUUGUCUAUUAGAAGGAUGCUUCUGCAUUAUUAAUAAAAUCACAGGGAAAAUGCAACAUUUUGGAUGUCACAUCUGAUAAGUGGGUGACUGAUCGUACCCGCCAGCUGGCUAAUGUCAUAAUUAACAAAGUUGCUACUACAUCUGCAAAGUUUAAUCGAAAAAUUUGCCAGUGAUAUGAUGGCCUUGUCACAGAGAUCACAAGGGACACGGAGUUGACUUUUGCUCAAGGUGGAACGACAGAGCUGUGUAGGCAAGAUGAGAAAUUGCGAACUUGUUCGGCCAAAGGAGGCUAAUAAUGAAGGGGCCGGGAAGGAGGCCAGUGCUACCAGGGUUAUCUCACAACCUCAGAUGCUGGAUAAGUCGACGGAGGCAGAAUCGCUUUGGGAUGACAUUCAGAAAGCCUGGAGUGAUUACUUGCAAGAGAAAAGCCUACCUAUUCUUUCCAAGGUGCAGGAAUAUUCCCCUGACCUGCUCAUCCAGUGGUCCAGUAAUGAAUUACUGGAGACCUGCCUUAGACAAAGAAUGCACUCGGAGCCCCAACACACCUAAAGCCAUGCUUUGAAGGAUCUGCCAAGCUCACUUUUAAUCAUGAGAAAGAAAUUACCCACACGGAGUCAGCAGAAAAUGAGAAAGUAGAGCUCGUGCUGUGAAUAAUUCCAGCAAGUGCCAAGGGGCUAGUUGAGGAAUGGCUUCAUGAGAUGUUAGUCUAAAACAGCACCUUGGAUCUAAGCAGCACCUUUGAGAAAGAAAAGACUGCUUCAAGAAUGUCUAGUUGCACCUCCUUUCCGUAUGUGGCCUAAAUGCCUAGGUUGGAUCAAUAGUUUAAUUUUUUUAUUGAACUGUUUAAUAUUGACUAUGGACUUACAUUCACUUUUACUGUUUUCUGUAUAUUUACUUUUGCUUGAAGUGUUUUAAUAUUGACUAUUUACCUCUGCUCAUUUUUAUUGAUUUUCUGUAUUUUUUCAAUGAAAAUUAUAAUAAAAAUUAUUUUUGUUA